Molecule: long non-coding RNA, 1957 nt
Organism: Dreissena polymorpha
Lineage: Eukaryota; Metazoa; Mollusca; Bivalvia; Myida; Dreissenidae
Exons: 2
Source: RefSeq, a predicted model, not a curated record
GUGCUCGAAAAUGUUAAAGUUCUUAUUUCAUGGUAUAACUUUGGUAUGCUUGGACCUAGAGUCUUCAAACUUGACAUGAAGGUUGGCCAGGAUUAACAGAUGACCACUGGUCAUUUCAAGGUCAUUCAUUUGAAGGUCAAGGUCACUGUGACCUUCAAUAUAAAAAUGUUAAAGUUGUUAUAACUUUGGUAUGCUUGGACCUAGAGUCUUGAAACUUGACAUGAAGGUUGGCCAGAACUAGUAAGUAACCACUGGACAUUUCAAGGUCAUUCAUUUGAAGGUCAAGGUCACUGUGACCUUGAAUGUAAAAAUGUUAAAGUUGUUAUAACUUUGGUAUGCUUGGACCUAGAGUCUUGAAACUUGACAUGAAGGUUGGCCAGAACUAGUAAGUAACCACUGGACAUUUCAAGGUCAUUCAUUUGAAGGUCAAGGUCACUGUGACCUUGAAUGUAAAAAUGUUAAAGUUCUUAUUUCAUGUUAUAACUUUGGUAUGCUUGUACCUAGAGUCUUCAAACUUGAAAUAAAGAUUGGCCAGUACUAGAAGAUGACCACUGGUCAUUUCAAUGUCAUUCAUUUGAAGGUCAAGGUCACUGUGACCUUAAAUGUUAAAAUGUUAAAAUUGUUAUAACUUUGGUAUGCUUGGACAUAGAGUCUUCAAACUUGACAUGAAGGUUUGCAAGCACACUUAGAUGACCACUGGUCAUUUCAAGGUCAUUCAUUCUAAGGUCAAGGUCACUGUGACCUUGAAUGUAAAAAUGUUAAAGUUCUUAUAACUUUGGUAGGUAAAAAUGUUAAAGUUCUUAUUCCAUGUUAUAACUUUGGUAUGCUUGUACCUAGAGUCUUCAAACUUGACAUAAAGGUUGGCCAGUACUAGAAGAUCACCACUGCUCAUUUCAAUGUCAUUCAUUUGAAGGUCAAGGUCACUGUGACCUUCAAUGUUAAAAUGUUAAAAUUGUUAUAACUUUGGUAUGCUUGGACCUAGAAUCUCAAACUUGACGUAAAGGUUUGCAAGCACACUUAGAUGACCACUGGUCAUUUCAAGGUCAUUCAUUUCAAUGUCAUUCAUUUGAAGGUCAAGGUCACUGUGAACUUAAAUGUUAAAAUGUUAAAAUUGUUGUAACUUUGGUAUGCUUGGACCUAGAAUCUCAAACUUGACGUAAAGGUUUGCAAGCACACUUAGAUGACCACUGGUCAUUUCAAGGUCAUUCAUUUGAAGGUCGAGGUCACUGUGACCUUGGAUGUAAAUAUGUUAAAGUUGUUAAUACUUUGGUAUGCUUAGACCUAGAGUCUUCAAACUUGAUAUGAAGGUUGGCCAGAACUAGUAGAUGACCACUGGUCAUUUUAAGGUCAAGGUCACCGUGAGAAGUUUAUUUUCUUACAUUUGAUAAUGAAAUUGAUGGAAACUUCAAACAAUAUCUUACUAAUUUGCUAAUAAAAAAAUUGAGAUCAAACUUUCCUAAUUGUCAAUUCAAGUUCAUAUUUGUGACCUUAAAUGUUAUUGUUGUUCAUGUAUAUGCAUGCAUUCAAAACAUAACACAAGGUUUGCUCAUGCCUUGAAAAGUACUUACAUUUCAUUUUGACCUUUGAACAAUAUUUCAGUAAUUUAAGUAUUGCAUUGACAAAAACACGAAAGGUACUUUCCUGUCAUUUAAAUCAAAAAUCCGGCUUCAAUGCGGUCAUCUCCGACCGCGGAACUCUUGUUGAUACAUAAAUUUCUUUGAUUGGAAUUGCUUUGAUGAACAAUCUUGGUGACUUACUUGUGCUUCUUUUCUUACAAAAAAUGCAAUUAACGUAUUUUCUGUGCAAAUUUUUAAACAGAGAUACCAUUUCAUUUCCAUUGCAAGCUCAUGUGUUGUGGCAGUUAUUUUGAAGGAAUGUCUUGUUUAAAUUAUGUGUUCAAUUGGAUUUAUUCUGUGUGUAUGAUUCUGAUGUGAAUUGAUUAAAUGUUAUUCAAUGA